UUUAUAGUAAGAGGAAAAUCCGUCGACUUUAUAAAUCGUGAGGGUUCAA
Molecule: transfer RNA, 49 nt
Filed under: Placospermum coriaceum
Lineage: Eukaryota; Viridiplantae; Streptophyta; Magnoliopsida; Proteales; Proteaceae
Also listed under: 105 other names
Description: partial tRNA-Leu
Source: RNAcentral